UACGUAGGGGGCAAGCGUUGUCCGGAAUCAUUGGGCGUAAAGAGCGCGUAGGCGGCCCUGUAAGUCCGCUGUGAAAGUCAAGGGCUCAACCCUUGGAUGCCGGUGGAUACUGCAGGGCUAGAGUCCGGAAGAGGCGAGUGGAAUUCCUGGUGUAGCGGUGAAAUGCGCAGAUAUCAGGAGGAACACCGGUGGCGAAGGCGGUUCUCUGGGCAUUACCUGACGCUGAGGAGCGAAAGUGUGGGGAGCGAACAGG
RNAcentral lists this ribosomal RNA (253 nucleotides) under uncultured bacterium. RNAcentral's name for it is "partial 16S ribosomal RNA". It matches the Rfam family "Bacterial small subunit ribosomal RNA", at positions 524 to 776 of the family's 1533-position model. The record is from RNAcentral.